This 506-nucleotide ribosomal RNA is filed under the name uncultured bacterium. RNAcentral describes it as "partial 16S ribosomal RNA". It matches the Rfam family "Bacterial small subunit ribosomal RNA", at positions 29 to 523 of the family's 1533-position model. The record is from RNAcentral.
AGUGAACGCUGGCGGUAGGCCUAACACAUGCAAGUCGAACGGCAGCACAGGAGAGCUUGCUCUCUGGGUGGCGAGUGGCGGACGGGUGAGGAAUACAUCGGAAUCUACUCUGUCGUGGGGGAUAACGUAGGGAAACUUACGCUAAUACCGCAUACGACCUACGGGUGAAAGCAGGGGACCUUCGGGCCUUGCGCGAUUGUAUGGGCCGAUGUCGGAUUAGCUAGUUGGCGGGGUAAAGGCCCACCAAGGCGACGAUCCGUAGCUGGUCUGAGAGGAUGAUCAGCCACACUGGAACUGAGACACGGGCCAGACUCCUACGGGAGGCAGCAGUGGGGAAUAUUGGACAAGGGGCGCAAGCCUGAUCCAGCCAUACCGCGUGGGUGAAGAAGGCCUUCGGGUUGUAAAGCCCUUUUGUUGGGAAAGAAAUCCAGCUGGCUAAUACCCGGUUGGGAUGACGGUACCCAAAGAAUAAGCACCGGCUAACUUCGUGCCAGCCGCCGCCGUAA